RNAcentral lists this non-coding RNA (29 nucleotides) under Homo sapiens (human). The record is from RNAcentral. Lineage: Eukaryota; Metazoa; Chordata; Mammalia; Primates; Hominidae.
UAGAAGGACAUGGCCAGAUCUCACUGAGU